UAUGUCCGGGCGUGACAAUAAUUGUUACAGCACCUUGCAAAUUGUUACUACGAAAAGCACUGCAUUAUACAUAUUACCAUCAGUUUUGAAUUAAGCGAUUAUUACGUAACCUUAAAAAAAUAAUUGUUAAUUGGAAAAUUAUUGCUGCUUGUGAUUUGACCGCAUUUUCAUGUGAUAUAAUCGACUUUGACGAAGGUUGAAAUUUAAGUUUGCUAUAGUAAAUAAAAGGAGAAACCUUUAAUUGGUAAGGGCUAGAAGAUUACAAUCAACUGGCAACAUUUCUCGUAGGAAAUGAAAUAUAUUCCUGUCGCUUUUCUUUCAAGAUUGUUGUUAUUUGAAAUGUUUUUAAGGUUUAUGAAAUGACAAAAGAAGGAAAUCGAUGUUUUUUAAUAAAAAUCCAUUUACGUAACUCGAUAAAUUUGCUAAAUUUGCUCCAUCGAAAGUCAAUGGCUCGCAUCGCAAGGCGUUAAAAUUUUACUACCGAUCUUCUAGCACCGCACCCCAAAGAUGGUAAAAAAUGCGGCUUAAAACCAUCAUGGAUCAUGAAAUCAGAUGUUUUUUUCAGUUUGUGAGAGCAGAUGAAAGCGCCAUAAGUAAAUUAUUUGAGUUACUUUUAUUGGGUGAAAGGGAGAAUGCAGUCGAUUGUUUUCCGCGACUGAUAAAAUCAUCACUUGUUCUGGCGAAAUAAAUAGAGCUGAUUGGGGCUGAAACAGCAGCAAGAAUGUGCAAACAUACGUCGCUUUAGAAAUUUCAUUUACAUGGUUUUACUAUUAUGUGCACUAGUAAACUGUUUAUUUUUAUCUUUUUAUUUAUUAAACACUAACAAUAUUAUUUGAUGUGACUAAGUUUAGAGCCUUUCAAAGUACAACCUGAGUGGAGGUACAUAACUUUGGCUCUUGGUGUGCUGUUUGUGCACGAAACCGACGUCGCUUUUGCCUAUUAAGAUGCAUUAACGCUUUGAAAGAGACAAUAAAUCAAUAAUAUUUUUUGUACUUUAAGAGCUGUGUGUAUCAUAAAAAAUAUUUCAUACUUUUAUGACCAUAAAUAUGGAUAAUGAAAUAACUAUAAAUUAAUUUAUUUUAGGUUCAAAUUUGUUUAUUUUCACAAUACCUAUCCAACUUAAAAUACAUUUUGAAUUGUAAACUAAAACUUGCAACAAAAGCGCAUGAGCAGUUGUGGACUGGAUUAUCGCAAGAACCGUUACCAGCAUUUAGGGUUAAAGAAACGUACGCCAAACUGUUCAAGCUUUCACUGUGCAACAAAAUGCGUCCCGAGCAGCUUUUACUGUUGUUGCUGCUGUGCAUUUCCACAAAUUUCUCGCCACUCGUCGUUACCGCAGAUGAGAACGUGACUUUGCCGGCGUGUCCAGGCAGCUCGUACGACACUGACAGACUGACCUGCUUUCUCUACUGGAAAAGCCUGUUGGAUCGCAGCGGACGCAAUUUGGAUAGCUCGGGACCCAAAAACAUUCCAUUCCGGGACGGCUUGAACCUUCAACAGAUGAACAACGUCAUGGGUUGAAUAUGCACUCUACACUUGUGAAUGCUGAGAAAAACGUCUUGCCUAUCUGACACUGUGUUACACCAAAUAAAUAUCUUAAUUAUGAUAAUAUAUUAAU
Molecule: long non-coding RNA, 1618 nt
Organism: Cloeon dipterum
Lineage: Eukaryota; Metazoa; Arthropoda; Insecta; Ephemeroptera; Baetidae
Exons: 2
Source: RefSeq, a predicted model, not a curated record